ACGCUGGCCGCGUGCCUCAGACAUGCAAGUCGAACGCGAAAGUCCCCUUCGGGGGACGAGUAGAGUGGCGUCCGGGUGAGUAACACGUAGGUAAUCUACCUUCGGGUGGGGAAUAACGCAGGGAAACUUGCGCUAAUACCGCAUAAUGCAGCGGCACCACAUGGUGACAGUUGUUAAAGCGGGGGAUUUUCGGACCUCGCGCCUGAAGAGGAGUCUGCGGCAGAUUAGCUAGUUGGUAGGGUAACGGCUUACCAAGGCGACGAUCUGUAGCCGGCCUGAGAGGGCGGUCGGCCACACUGACACUGACAUACGGGUCAGACUCCUACGGGAGGCAGCAGUGGG
Molecule: small RNA, 342 nt
Filed under: uncultured bacterium
Lineage: Bacteria
Description: bacterial SSU rRNA
Rfam family: Bacterial small subunit ribosomal RNA
Source: RNAcentral